This 253-nucleotide ribosomal RNA is filed under the name uncultured bacterium. RNAcentral's name for it is "partial 16S ribosomal RNA". It matches the Rfam family "Bacterial small subunit ribosomal RNA", at positions 524 to 776 of the family's 1533-position model. The record is from RNAcentral.
UACGAGGGGUGCAAGCGUUAUUCGGAAUCAUUGGGCGUAAAGGGUGCGUAGACGGUUUAUUAAGUCUGUUGUUUAAGACUCUGGCUUAACUGGAGAAAGGCAAUGGAAACUGAUGGACUAGAGGGUGAGAGAGAGAAGUGGAAUUUCUGGAGUAGCGGUCAAAUGCGUAGAUCUCAGAAGGAACACCGAUGGCGAAGGCAGCUUCUUGGCUCAUACCUGACGUUGAUGCACGAAAGCGUGGGGAGCAAACAGG